This 254-nucleotide ribosomal RNA is filed under the name uncultured bacterium. Its description in RNAcentral is "partial 16S ribosomal RNA". It matches the Rfam family "Bacterial small subunit ribosomal RNA", at positions 524 to 776 of the family's 1533-position model. The record is from RNAcentral.
UACGUAGGGGGCGAGCGUUGUCCGGAAUUAUUGGGCGUAAAGAGCUCGUAGGCGGCUUGGCAAGUCGGAUGUGAAAACUCCAGGCUCAACCUGGAGCCGCCAUUCGAUACUGCUAUGGCUAGAGUCCGGUAGGGGAGUGUGGAAUUCCCGGUGUAGCGGUGAAAUGCGCAGAUAUCGGGAAGAACACCCGUGGCGAAGGCGGCUCUCUGGUACGUGACUGACGCUGAGACGCGAAAGCGUGGGGAGCAAACAGG